GAGAGAGAGAGAGAGAGCAGUGUUGAAUUGUUUUCGGUCCUCGAAUAAAUUUAGAGACUAACCAAAAACAAAAGUCCAUAUUUAGACAAACUUGGAAGAUUUAAGGUGUGGGUGUGGAGGAGGUCCUAUGAAUUACCGGCCCUAUCCCCUAAAUAUGUUUGUUUCCGCUUUCAGGCUAGGUAGAUGGGCAUUCUUACACUACCAAUUACUUCUGCUAUUCACCAUGCUGGAAGUCUAUGAUGCUCGAUGUAGUCGUCCGUUUGCCAAAAUUUUAUUUCAAGAGAUCUUGAAAUUACCCCAUACAAAGUAUAAUUUUAUCAUUGAAAUAGUAAUGCAAACUUUUAAUAAUUUUGUAUGAAUAUUUUGUUUUUUCUUCAGGAAUGUUAUCGAAUCCCGGCCGCGACAGACCUAAGUCAUUAAAACAGGAAGUGACAAAUCAAACGCUCGGGUGUGAAUGUCACGGGUACUCGGAGACGACCUUAAAAACGGAUGUCCCAUGUCGCAGUGGGUGUGGCACGCUAAAGAACCCUCACUGCUCAAUGGCCGUGUUCAUCUGAAAUCAUGUAACCUUGGAGCUGCAGGACCCAUACCAAGUAGUUUUAAAGGGAUCGUAAUGAAUGGUGAUGCGUUGAUGUCCACUGUGACGUGUUGGAUGAAGGGAACCUGAAACACAUUGCUAUCUGACGCGUUUCAUACCUAUUGUUAGACCGCUCUUUACACGCUGAUCACUCCGUUUACCUGAUCAAGACCGACAGUGGAUGUUUACUCAUAGGCAGCUGAUCCCGCCUCUGGUGUGUCCAGGGUCCGUGUUUGUCCUGGUUUUAAUUUUGUGCUCCUUAUAGGAAUUGUGAGAUUAAUCACUGUUCGUUAUCUUCACUUUGUUCUGGGAAAUGUCGGAUUUUUCCUGCACGUGGGACAGUAUUAUUUAUAUUGUACUCUGAAUUUGUCUUUUCCAGAAUAAAUGAAUUGCUAUUGCGUUA
Ostrea edulis (European flat oyster) is the source of this 980-nucleotide long non-coding RNA. RefSeq lists it as uncharacterized. Lineage: Eukaryota; Metazoa; Mollusca; Bivalvia; Ostreida; Ostreidae. The transcript has 3 exons. The record is from RefSeq and is a predicted model, not a curated record.